Molecule: ribosomal RNA, 465 nt
Filed under: Vreelandella stevensii
Lineage: Bacteria; Pseudomonadati; Pseudomonadota; Gammaproteobacteria; Oceanospirillales; Halomonadaceae
Description: partial 16S ribosomal RNA
Rfam family: Bacterial small subunit ribosomal RNA
Source: RNAcentral
CCUAGGGGUGGCUGCAGUGGGGAAUAUUGGACAAUGGGCGAAAGCCUGAUCCAGCCAUGCCGCGUGUGUGAAGAAGGCCUUCGGGUUGUAAAGCACUUUCAGUGGGGAAGAAAGCCUUGGGGCUAAUACCCUCGAGGAAGGACAUCACCCACAGAAGAAGCACCGGCUAACUCCGUGCCAGCAGCCGCGGUAAUACGGAGGGUGCGAGCGUUAAUCGGAAUUACUGGGCGUAAAGCGCGCGUAGGCGGUCUGAUAAGCCGGUUGUGAAAGCCCCGGGCUCAACCUGGGAACGGCAUCCGGAACUGUCAGGCUAGAGUGCAGGAGAGGAAGGUAGAAUUCCCGGUGUAGCGGUGAAAUGCGUAGAGAUCGGGAGGAAUACCAGUGGCGAAGGCGGCCUUCUGGACUGACACUGACGCUGAGGUGCGAAAGCGUGGGUAGCAAACAGGAUUAGAUACCCCAGUAGUC